AUACUUACCUGGCAGAGGAGAAGCCGUGAUGAUGAAGGUGGUUUUCCCAGGUUAAAGCUUCUCCAUGACAUGUGAAUGUGCUGAUGUCUGUGGUUUCCCGAAUGCGGGAAACUCUACUGCAUAAUUUGUGGUAGAGGGGGACUGCAUUCGCACUAUCUCGUG
Small nuclear RNA from Otolemur garnettii (small-eared galago), 162 nucleotides. Its record names the gene U1. It matches the Rfam family "U1 spliceosomal RNA". Rfam says of the family: U1 is a small nuclear RNA (snRNA) component of the spliceosome (involved in pre-mRNA splicing). Its 5' end forms complementary base pairs with the 5' splice junction, thus defining the 5' donor site of an intron. Lineage: Eukaryota; Metazoa; Chordata; Mammalia; Primates; Galagidae. The record is from Ensembl.